Molecule: ribosomal RNA, 269 nt
Filed under: uncultured bacterium
Lineage: Bacteria
Description: partial 16S ribosomal RNA
Rfam family: Bacterial small subunit ribosomal RNA
Source: RNAcentral
UGUUACAAUGGCAGGUACAGAGGGAUGCUACCGGGCGACCGGAUGCGGAUCUCGAAAGCCUGUCCCAGUUCGGACUGGAGUCUGCAACCCGACUCCACGAAGUUGGAUUCGCUAGUAAUCGCGCAUCAGCCAUGGCGCGGUGAAUACGUUCCCGGGCCUUGUACACACCGCCCGUCAAGCCAUGGGAGCCGGGGGCGCCUGAAGUCCGGGACCGCGAGGACCGGCCUAGGGCGAAACUGGUAACUGGGGCUAAGUCGUAACAAGGUAUC